Molecule: transfer RNA, 29 nt
Filed under: Myxobdella sinanensis
Lineage: Eukaryota; Metazoa; Annelida; Clitellata; Hirudinida; Hirudinidae
Description: partial tRNA-Cys
Source: RNAcentral
AGAUUUAAAAGUGUAAUAUACAAUUCUUU